AGUGAACGCUGGCGGUAGGCCUAACACAUGCAAGUCGAACGGCAGCACAGUAAGAGCUUGCUCUUACGGGUGGCGAGUGGCGGACGGGUGAGGAAUACAUCGGAAUCUACUUUUUCGUGGGGGAUAACGUAGGGAAACUUACGCUAAUACCGCAUACGACCUACGGGUGAAAGCAGGGGAUCUUCGGACCUUGCGCGAUUGAAUGAGCCGAUGUCGGAUUAGCUAGUUGGCGGGGUAAAGGCCCACCAAGGCGACGAUCCGUAGCUGGUCUGAGAGGAUGAUCACCCCCACUGGAGCUCUGACACGGUCCAGAGUCCUCCGGGAGGGAGCAGUGUGGAAUAUUGUGCAAUAUGGGCAAACCUGUUCCAGCCAUACCGCGUGGGUGAAGAAGGCCUUCGGGUUGUAAAGCCCUUUUGUUGGGAAAGAAAAGCAGCAGGUUAAUACCCCGCUGUUCUGACGGUACCCAAAGAAUAAGCACCGGCUAACUUCGUG
This 492-nucleotide ribosomal RNA is filed under the name uncultured bacterium. Its description in RNAcentral is "partial 16S ribosomal RNA". It matches the Rfam family "Bacterial small subunit ribosomal RNA", at positions 29 to 507 of the family's 1533-position model. The record is from RNAcentral.